Dermacentor andersoni is the source of this 842-nucleotide long non-coding RNA. RefSeq lists it as uncharacterized. The record is from RefSeq and is a predicted model, not a curated record. NCBI's taxonomy places the organism in Eukaryota, Metazoa, Arthropoda, Arachnida, Ixodida, Ixodidae.
UAAGAACCUGUGGCAUGAUGAGUUUGCGCAAAAGAACAGUGCAGGUGCCAUCAUAUAUACAUUCAUUGUCAUUCACGCACACUAUUGGAGGGACUCCAAUCUACAUUAGUACAGUGCAAUCAGCGCCAGUACCAGUGGUCGCUCAAUGUGUGGUUUGGAAUUUACGCCAGUGCAAUAAUCAGUACCAUCUUCAAUCACGCACUGACUGGACAGCGUUAUGUGAACGAAAUCCUUGAAGGAGUGGUUGAUGAGUUUCUCAGCAAAAUGGGCCACCUGCAUGCAGCAGCAGCCGAGCACGAAACUGGUUGGGUGCUACUUUUCAAAUAGAUUGGAAGGCACGAGCCUGUAAAGAGGCCGGCUAGGUCACGUGACCUCUCCGUUAAGUUUCUUUCUUUGGGGUUAUGUGAAAGAUUGUGCCGGACGUCACAUUAGUUCAAGGUAAGGAUAACGGAUGUCUGCCAUAGAAUUCCGGCAUCGGUCAUCAAGAAAGCCACUAAAGGUGUGAUAAAAUAGACAGUGCUGCGUAGCUGCAAAAGGAGACCUAUUUGAACACGUCCUCUAGGCUGAUGUUCAACGCAGCUUACGAAUUAAUAGAUAGUAAGAGCACACAGUUUUUUUGUUUUGUUUUUUUGUCUGUGUGUGUGUGUGUGUGUGCCGACAUUCUGAUUGCCAGUUCGGCUCACAGAAGUGGUAUAUUUAAUUUCGUGAACGCAUUGGUUUUGCCUUUUCUCUACAAGUUGGUCGCUUUCCAGUGUGUUUAUUUCGCUUUUAUUUGUUGACACGAACCUGUUUUUGCAGCACGUGUACACUUUCAUGAAAAAUAAAACGCUCACUUUAUAUUG